UACGUAGGUGGCAAGCGUUGUCCGGAUUUACUGGGCGUAAAGGAUGCGUAGGCGGAUAUUUAAGUGAGAUGUGAAAUCCCUAAGCUUAACUUAGGAGCUGCAUUUCAAACUGGAUAUCUAGAGUGCGGGAGAGGAGAAUGGAAUUCCUAGUGUAGCGGUGAAAUGCGUAGAGAUUAGGAAGAACACCAGUGGCGAAGGCGAUUCUCUGGACCGUAACUGACGCUGAGGCAUGAAAGCGUGGGUAGCAAACAGG
This 253-nucleotide ribosomal RNA is filed under the name uncultured bacterium. Its description in RNAcentral is "partial 16S ribosomal RNA". It matches the Rfam family "Bacterial small subunit ribosomal RNA", at positions 524 to 776 of the family's 1533-position model. The record is from RNAcentral.